GGAUGAACGCUGGCGGCGUGCCUAAUACAUGCAAGUCGAGCGAACGGACGAGAAGCUUGCUUCUCUGAUGUUAGCGGCGGCCGGGUGAGUAACACGUGGAUAACCUACCUAUAAGACUGGGAUAACUUCGGGAAACCGGAGCUAAUACCGGAUAAUAUUUUGAACCGCAUGGUUCAAAAGUGAAAGACGGUCUUGCUGUCACUUAUAUAUGGAUCCGCUCUGCAUUAGCUAGUUGGUAAGGUAACGGCUUACCAAGGCAACGAUGCAUAGCCGACCUGAGAGGGUGAUCGGCCACACUGGAACUGAGACACGGUCCAGACUCCUACGGGAGGAAGCAGUAGGGAAUCUUCCGCAAUGGGCGAAAGCCUGACGGAGCAACGCCGCGUGAGUGAUGAAGGUCUUCGGAUCGUAAAACUCUGUUAUUAGGGAAGAACAUAUGUGUAAGUAACUGUGCACAUCUUGACGGUACCUAAUCAGAAAGCCACGGCUAACUACGUG
Molecule: ribosomal RNA, 498 nt
Filed under: uncultured bacterium
Lineage: Bacteria
Description: partial 16S ribosomal RNA
Rfam family: Bacterial small subunit ribosomal RNA
Source: RNAcentral